CAGUCGCCGCGGUAAUACGUAGGGUGCAAGCGUUAAUCGGAAUUACUGGGCGUAAAGCGUGCGCAGGCGGUUUGUUAAGACAGAUGUGAAAUCCCCGGGCUUAACCUGGGAACUGCAUUUGUGACUGGCAAGCUAGAGUCUGGCAGAGGGGGGUGGAAUUCCGCGUGUAGCAGUGAAAUGCGUAGAUAUGCGGAGGAACACCGAUGGCGAAGGCAGCCCCCUGGGCCAACACUGACGCUCAUGCACGAAAGCGUAGGGAGCAAACAGGAUUAGAUACCCGAGUAGUCCCUGUCUCUUAUAC
Molecule: ribosomal RNA, 301 nt
Filed under: uncultured bacterium
Lineage: Bacteria
Description: partial 16S ribosomal RNA
Rfam family: Bacterial small subunit ribosomal RNA
Source: RNAcentral